This is a long non-coding RNA of Podarcis raffonei (Aeolian wall lizard), 389 nucleotides long. RefSeq lists it as uncharacterized. The transcript is spliced from 2 exons. The record is from RefSeq and is a predicted model, not a curated record. NCBI's taxonomy places the organism in Eukaryota, Metazoa, Chordata, Lepidosauria, Squamata, Lacertidae.
GUGAGUUACAUGAGAGAGCCACAUUCCAUUCUGUUGUGACUGUUAUUCCAGUAACUGUUGUUUUUAACUGCUUUCUGCUCGCUCGCUCACUUGCUUGCUCUGUAUGAGGGGGAAUGGCUGCUGAGAGAGGCUUCUCAAGAUACUGCUGAGGAUGGUGUGGUGUCAGUGUGAUCCGUCUGAAGUAAAACAGAGGAAGAUCCCUAAACAUUAAUAUCCUGUGAACUGCCCUAAGACCUGCAGGCAGCCCGAGUUGCAGAAGGAGCGGACGGAUCCUGACUCCCAGCAGCCCCUCCCCUUCAUUCCCGCCGUCAGAGGGGUCUGGCGGAAGCUCCAGCUCAGGGCAUUGCCUGAGGUUGUUUAUAAAAAAAAAUAAAAAUGGAAGACACUAA